This 82-nucleotide transfer RNA is filed under the name Saussurea japonica. Its description in RNAcentral is "tRNA-Asp". It matches the Rfam family "tRNA". Rfam says of the family: Transfer RNA (tRNA) molecules are approximately 80 nucleotides in length. Their secondary structure includes four short double-helical elements and three loops (D, anti-codon, and T loops). Further hydrogen bonds mediate the characteristic L-shaped molecular structure. tRNAs have two regions of fundamental functional importance: the anti-codon, which is responsible for specific mRNA codon recognition, and the 3' end, to which the tRNAs corresponding amino acid is attached (by aminoacyl-tRNA synthetases). tRNAs cope with the degeneracy of the genetic code in two manners: having more than one tRNA (with a specific anti-codon) for a particular amino acid; and 'wobble' base-pairing, i.e. permitting non-standard base-pairing at the 3rd anti-codon position. Lineage: Eukaryota; Viridiplantae; Streptophyta; Magnoliopsida; Asterales; Asteraceae. RNAcentral also lists the same sequence under 6 other names. The record is from RNAcentral.
AUUCCCCUGGGAUUGUAGUUCAAUAGGCAAGAGCACCGCCCUGUCAAGGCGGACGUUGCGGGUUCGAGCCCCGUCAGUCCCG